UAGCAGCCCUGGAGACUGAAGGCCUCUGUUUAUCCCAAGAGCAGGUUCGGCACGGACAGGAGCUGCUCUGCCAGCGGUGCCACGCCAGAGUGCCACAGGCAUGGACCUCCCUCGUCCGUGUGGGACGCAAAGGAGUCGGUCCCCACGGCCCGCUCGGGACARCCCGU
This 167-nucleotide small RNA is filed under the name Dromaius novaehollandiae (emu). RNAcentral's name for it is "TUC338 (ENSDNVG00000013272.1)". Lineage: Eukaryota; Metazoa; Chordata; Aves; Casuariiformes; Dromaiidae. The record is from RNAcentral.